RNAcentral lists this ribosomal RNA (504 nucleotides) under uncultured bacterium. Its description in RNAcentral is "partial 16S ribosomal RNA". It matches the Rfam family "Bacterial small subunit ribosomal RNA", at positions 28 to 506 of the family's 1533-position model. The record is from RNAcentral.
GACGAACGCUGGCGGCGUGCCUAAUACAUGCAAGUAGAACGCACAGUUUAUACCGUGGCUUGCUACACCAUAGACUGUGAGUUGCGAACGGGUGAGUAACGCGUAGGUAACCUGCCUGGUAGCGGGGGAUAACUAUUGGAAACGAUAGCUAAUACCGCAUAAUAUUAAUUAUUGCAUGAUAAUUAAUUGAAAGGUGCAAUUGCACCACUACCAGAUGGACCUGCGUUGUAUUAGCUAGUAGGUGAGGUAACGGCUCACCUAGGCGACGAUACAUAGCCGACCUGAGAGGGGGAUCGGCCACACUGGGACUGAGACACGGCCCAGACUCCUACGGGAGGCAGCAGUAGGGAAUCUUCGGCAAUGGACGAAAGUCUGACCGAGCAGCGCCGCGUGAGUGAAGAAGGUUUUCGGAUCGUAAAGCUCUGUUGUAAGAGAAGAACGGGUGUGAGAGUGGAAAGUUCACACUGUGACGGUAUCUUACCAGAAGGGGACGGCUAACUACGU